UACGUAGGGUGCAAGCGUUGUCCGGAAUUAUUGGGCGUAAAGAGCUCGUAGGCGGUUUGUCGCGUCUGCUGUGAAAACUCGGGGCUUAACUCCGGGCCUGCAGUGGGUACGGGCAGACUAGAGUGCGGUAGGGGAGACUGGAAUUCCUGGUGUAGCGGUGAAAUGCGCAGAUAUCAGGAGGAACACCAAUAGCGAAGGCAGCUCGCUGGGACGUUACUGACACUGAGGCGCGAAAGCGUGGGGAGCGAACAGG
RNAcentral lists this ribosomal RNA (253 nucleotides) under uncultured bacterium. Its description in RNAcentral is "partial 16S ribosomal RNA". It matches the Rfam family "Bacterial small subunit ribosomal RNA", at positions 524 to 776 of the family's 1533-position model. The record is from RNAcentral.